GGGUUCGAUUAUGGCUCAGAUUGAACGCUGGCGGCAGGCCUAACACAUGCAAGUCGAGCGGAAACGAGUUAUCUGAACCUUCGGGGAACGAUAACGGCGUCGAGCGGCGGACGGGUGAGUAAUGCCUAGGAAAUUGCCUUGAUGUGGGGGAUAACCAUUGGAAACGAUGGCUAAUACCGCAUGAUGCCUACGGGCCAAAGAGGGGGACCUUCGGGCCUCUCGCGUCAAGAUAUGCCUAGGUGGGAUUAGCUAGUUGGUGAGGUAAUGGCUCACCAAGGCGACGAUCCCUAGCUGGUCUGAGAGGAUGAUCAGCCACACUGGAACUGAGACACGGUCCAGACUCCUACGGGAGGCAGCAGUGGGGAAUAUUGCACAAUGGGCGCAAGCCUGAUGCAGCCAUGCCGCGUGUAUGAAGAAGGCCUUCGGGUUGUAAAGUACUUUCAGCAGUGAGGAAGGGGG
RNAcentral lists this ribosomal RNA (459 nucleotides) under uncultured bacterium. Its description in RNAcentral is "bacterial SSU rRNA". It matches the Rfam family "Bacterial small subunit ribosomal RNA", at positions 9 to 454 of the family's 1533-position model. The record is from RNAcentral.